GACGAACGCUGGCGGCGUGCUUAACACAUGCAAGUCGAACGGAAAGGCCCUGCUUUUGUGGGGUGCUCGAGUGGCGAACGGGUGAGUAACACGUGAGUAACCUGCCCUUGACUUUGGGGUAACUUCAGGAAAACUGGGGCUAAUACCGGAUAGGAGCUCCUGCUGCAUGGUGGGGGUUGGAAAGUUUCGGCGGUUGGGGAUGGACUCGCGGCUUAUCAGCUUGUUGGUGGGGUAGUGGCUUACCAAGGCUUUGACGGGUAGCCGGCCUGAGAGGGUGACCGGCCACAUUGGGACUGAGAUACGGCCCAGACUCCUACGGGAGGCAGCAGUGGGGAAUAUUGCACAAUGGGCGGAAGCCUGAUGCAGCAACGCCGCGUGCGGGAUGACGGCCUUCGGGUGGUAAACCGCUUUCGCCUGUGACGAAGCGUGAGUGACGGUAAUGGGUAAAGAAGCACCGGCUAACUACGU
Molecule: ribosomal RNA, 468 nt
Filed under: uncultured bacterium
Lineage: Bacteria
Description: partial 16S ribosomal RNA
Rfam family: Bacterial small subunit ribosomal RNA
Source: RNAcentral